This 301-nucleotide ribosomal RNA is filed under the name uncultured bacterium. Its description in RNAcentral is "partial 16S ribosomal RNA". It matches the Rfam family "Bacterial small subunit ribosomal RNA", at positions 509 to 809 of the family's 1533-position model. The record is from RNAcentral.
CAGCAGCCACGGGAAUACGUAGGUGGCGAGCGUUGUCCGGAAUUAUUGGGCGUAAAGGGAGCGCAGGCGGACAUAUAAGUCCAUCUUAAAGGUGCGGGGCUCAACCCCGUGAGGGGAUGGAAACUGUAUGCCUUGAGUGCAGGAGAGGAAGGCGGAAUUCCCAGUGUAGCGGUGAAAUGCGUAGAUAUUGGGAGGAACACCAGUGGCGAAGGCGGCUUUCUGGACUGUAACUGACGCUGAGGCUCGAAAGCCAGGGGAGCGAACGGGAUUAGAUACCCCUGUAGUCCCUGUCUCUUAUACA